This 253-nucleotide ribosomal RNA is filed under the name uncultured bacterium. Its description in RNAcentral is "partial 16S ribosomal RNA". It matches the Rfam family "Bacterial small subunit ribosomal RNA", at positions 524 to 776 of the family's 1533-position model. The record is from RNAcentral.
UACGUAGGGUGCAAGCGUUAAUCGGAAUUACUGGGCGUAAAGCGUGCGCAGGCGGUUUUGUAAGUCUGUCGUGAAAGCCCCGGGCUCAACCUGGGAAUUGCGAUGGAGACUGCAAGGCUUGAAUCUGGCAGAGGGGGGUAGAAUUCCACGUGUAGCAGUGAAAUGCGUAGAGAUGUGGAGGAACACCGAUGGCGAAGGCAGCCCCCGGGGUGAAGAUUGACGCUCAUGCACGAAAGCGUGGGGAGCAAACAGG